GUUGCAUUUCAACAAUAUUAGAUGGCAACUUGAACCCUAAACCCACUUCUGGAGUUGCUUCAACGGGCGGAUCUACCAUAGUGCGUUUAAAUUUCUCUUGCCUUUUCUGACUACGCGUUUUGCGAGACUUCCCGGGUUUUGUCUCAAGCUCAGCAUCAUAGAAAGGUAAAGCGCAGAGAAGUGGCAGAUUCGCAUCUGUAUUUUUAGCUUGAGCUCUCGUAACCGCAACAGCACUUCCUCUUGUGUCCAACAGGUCAUAAAGAACUGGCAGGUCAUGACCCAAAACAACUGGGAAAGGAAGGUCAUCAACAACUCCUACUUUCAGAAGAUACAUCUGUCCUUGAAUUUCCAAGUAGAGAUCAGCAGUAGGAUAAAGUCUUUUAUCACCAUGUACACAGCAGAUGGAAACUGUCUCUUGAGGGGAAACAAGGUUGACUGGUACAUGUUGUCGAUGAAUUAAAGUCUGUGUACUGCCAGUGUCAAUCAGUGCAUUGCAACAUUUCCCAUUCACUUUAACAGUGGUCAUUUUAAUAGGCUGGUUAGCUCGACUUUCCAAAGCAUGGCUCUGAUAUGGAACAAAACACAUCUGAGUGAGCUUUGCUGAAUUUCUUGGGCAAAGGGGUUUAAUAUGUCCUUCCUGCCCACACAAAUAGCAGAUUGGUGGUUUAUUGGAAGAUUUUGCUGGUUUACUCAUCUGAUCAUCCUGCACAGGCAUUCUCGGUGUUCCUGGAGCCAGUCUGUGGUGGUGGUGUUGUGGGGCUGUUGGCCUGCAGUUCUUUGAGACGGGCAUAAAGCUCCUUGGGACUUUCGUCGGGGCCCCCUUCCAAGGAACGAAAUCUCUGUCGGUAAGACUCAGGGCUGAUGUCAUAUUUAUGCAAGAUUGCAGUUUUAACUUUUUCAUAGUUCAAAGAAUCAUCGACAUCCAUGUUAACAUAGGCACUUCUGGCCUUACCAGUGAGCAGUGGGAUGAGGCGGAAAACCCAGUCUGACUCCACCCACUUGCACGCUGUUGCUAUGCGUUCAAAAGUUAUUAGGAAAUGUUCAAUGUCAUCGUUUUCUGUUAGCUUUUCUAACCUGGGAUCCAUAGAGAAGCGAGGGUGAGUGGUUACUUGCUGUGCCCCUGCUGUCUGAUGUACGGCCUGUGGCAGCCGAUCAUCUGAACCAGACUCCUCCGUUGGAUCAGGGGCUGAUGAGGUGUAAUCAGGAACAGGUGACGUCCGGGCCUGCACCUCCAUCUGCAAAAGUUGGAACUGAUGCUGCAGGCCUUUUAGCCUGUGUUCCUGCUGCUUUGCUUCCUCCUGGAGUCUCAUUUCUCGGGCUUCCUGUUGUCCCAUGAAGGCCUGGAGAAUACUAGUGAGAUGUUGCAAUGUUGGCUCUUCACCCUCAGUACCUGUACUAGCUCCUGAAGCUCCAGCCUCCUCCUCCUCUCCAUUGUCCAUGUUGGCAGUGCUGUAGUCCUUAUGUUCAAUGCGUGCUCUUGUAGUCCUUCCUCCUCGUUGCAUGGCUCACAAAAAAAAAUUUCAGGGGAUUGCCGGGGGGGGAAGAGGAAAAAAAAA
This is a non-coding RNA of Oryzias latipes (Japanese medaka), 1556 nucleotides long. NCBI's taxonomy places the organism in Eukaryota, Metazoa, Chordata, Actinopteri, Beloniformes, Adrianichthyidae. The record is from RefSeq and is a predicted model, not a curated record.